UCCUACGGGAGGCAGCAGUGGGGAAUCUUGCACAAUGGAGGAAACUCUGAUGCAGCGAUGCCGCGUGAGUGAAGAAGGCCCUUGGGUUGUAAAGCUCUUUCGUCGGGGAAGAAAAUGACUGUACCCGAAUAAGAAGGUCCGGCUAACUUCGUGCCAGCAGCCGCGGUAAUACGAAGGGACCUAGCGUAGUUCGGAAUUACUGGGCUUAAAGAGUUCGUAGGUGGUUGAAAAAGUUGGUGGUGAAAUCCCAGAGCUUAACUCUGGAACUGCCAUCAAAACUUUUCAGCUUGAGUUUGAUAGAGGAAAGCAGAAUUUCUAGUGUAGAGGUGAAAUUCGUAGAUAUUAGAAAGAAUACCAAUUGCGAAGGCAGCUUUCUGGAUCAUUACUGACACUGAGGAACGAAAGCAUGGAUAGCGAAGAGGAUUAGAUACCCUCGUAGUCCAUGCCGUAAACGAUGUGUGUUAGACGUUGGAAAUUUAUUUUCAGUGUCGCAGCGAAAGCGAUAAACACACCGCCUGGGGAGUACGACCGCAAGGUUAAAACUCAAAUGAAUUGACGG
RNAcentral lists this ribosomal RNA (559 nucleotides) under uncultured bacterium. RNAcentral's name for it is "bacterial SSU rRNA". It matches the Rfam family "Bacterial small subunit ribosomal RNA", at positions 337 to 916 of the family's 1533-position model. The record is from RNAcentral.